CUACCAUGGCAAUCACGGGUAACGGAGAAUUAGGGUUCGAUUCCGGAGAGGGAGCUGAGAAACGGCUACCACAUCUACGGAAGGCAGCAGGCGCGAAAAUUGCCCAAUCCUGAUUCAGGGAGGCAGUGACAAGAAAUAACAACUCUCGACUAUGUUGAGAAGUGUAAUGAGGAUAAUUUACAAACCUUACCGAAAGCAAUUGGAGGGCAAGUCUGGUGCCAGCAGCCGCGGUAAUUCCAGCUCCAAAGGCGUAUAUUAAAGUUGUUGCAGUUAAAAAGCUCGUAGUUGAAAUUCUGGCUGUAUUGGGCCUCUGCACUCGAUGCGAAGGAACCAGCAGUCAUCCGCUUGCAAAUACAUGUCCUUCCUUAACCGGUAGGCUGUAUAAGUAAGCAUUUUACCUUGAGAAAAACAGAGUGUUCCAGGCAGGUUUGUCCGGAAUGCGUUAGCAUGGAAUAAUAGAAUAUGACUGAAGUCGAUUUAUUGGUUAAAGGCUUUGGUAAUGAUUAAUAGGAACAAUCGGGGGCAUUGGUACUUGUCAGUCAGAGGUGAAAUUCUAGGAUUUGACAAAGACUAACUGAUGCGAAAGCGUUUGCCAAGAAUGUUUUCAUUAAUCAAGAACGAAAGUUAGGGGAUC
This 634-nucleotide ribosomal RNA is filed under the name uncultured eukaryote. RNAcentral describes it as "SSU rRNA". It matches the Rfam family "Eukaryotic small subunit ribosomal RNA", at positions 341 to 999 of the family's 1831-position model. The record is from RNAcentral.